RNAcentral lists this non-coding RNA (105 nucleotides) under uncultured Lachnoclostridium sp. Its description in RNAcentral is "S10-Clostridia ribosomal protein leader". It matches the Rfam family "S10-Clostridia ribosomal protein leader". The record is from RNAcentral. Lineage: Bacteria; Bacillati; Bacillota; Clostridia; Lachnospirales; Lachnospiraceae.
UGAUAGCGUAGAAACGUGAGGUUGCUAUAUAAGAUUUUGAUGAAAUCAAAGUCUUACAUAUAGGUUUUCCGUGGAGCGAAUGUCAAGUUAUGAAACUGGCGACAA